CGCCGCGUGAGGGAUGACGGCCUUCGGGUUGUAAACCUCUUUCAGCAGGGACGAAGCGUAAGUGACGGUACCUGCAGAAGAAGCACCGGCCAACUACGUGCCAGCAGCCGCGGUAAGACGUAGGGUGCGAGCGUUGUCCGGAUUUAUUGGGCGUAAAGAGCUCGUAGGCGGCUUGUCGCGUCGACCGUGAAAACUUGGGGCUCAACCCCAAGCCUGCGGUCGAUACGGGCAGGCUAGAGUUCGGUAGGGGAGACUGGAAUUCCUGGUGUAGCGGUGAAAUGCGCAGAUAUCAGGAGGAACACCGGUGGCGAAGGCGGGUCUCUGGGCCGAUACUGACGCUGAGGAGCGAAAGCGUGGGGAGCGAACAGGAUUAGAUACCCUGGUAGUCCACGCUGUAAACGUUGGGCGCUAGGUGUGGGGGGCCUCUCCGGUUCUCUGUGCCGCAGCUAACGCAUUAAGCGCCCCGCCUGGGGAGUACGGCCGCAAGGCUAAAACUCAAAGGAAUUGACGGGGGCCCGCACAAGCGGCGGAGCAUGCGGAUUAAUUCGAUGCAACGCGAAGAACCUUACCUGGGUUUGACAUGGCCGCAAAACUUGCAGAGAUGUAAGGUCCUUCGG
This 617-nucleotide ribosomal RNA is filed under the name Micromonospora sp. Ri3Pw_6162. RNAcentral's name for it is "bacterial SSU rRNA". It matches the Rfam family "Bacterial small subunit ribosomal RNA", at positions 395 to 1021 of the family's 1533-position model. The record is from RNAcentral. Lineage: Bacteria; Bacillati; Actinomycetota; Actinomycetes; Micromonosporales; Micromonosporaceae.